CAAGGUCCAAGGUUCAAGGUUCAAAGUUCCAAGGCUCAGGCUGGUUCGAAGGCCUGAGAGGACUGGACUUCACUAGGGUUUAUGAUGGUCCUCCUUUCUUCACUCUGAGAGUUCAGUCAUGGCUUUCCUCCGCCUAGCUUUCUCCACAUAGUUUUCCCAAUAUUUUCUUACAAUAAUGAGGUAUUUUGGAAGCAUUGUCCCUCAGCUGUCAAGGAAUCUCAAGCUCCGCAUCACUCAGAACCCUACCUUUUGUGAUUCGUUAAACCCUAAUUCUCAUUUAUGGAACCGUUUGAAUUUUGUACUGAAAUACACUUCCUCUGCGCAAGUCCCCUCCGAGAGGGUUUCGUCCAUCGUAGACGAGAUCUCCGGUCUCACCUUAUUAGAGGUUUCUGAUCUGACGGAACUUUUGCGCAAAAAAUUGGAUAUAAAUGAAAUGCCGGUGAUGGCGGUGAUGAUGCCGGGCAUGGGGUUCGGGGUGAGAGGGGCCGGCGGAGCGGCGCCAAAGGCGGCAGAGGUGAAGGCGGCUGAGAAGACGGCGUUCGAUUUGAAGCUAGAGGCGUUCGAUGCGGCGGCGAAGAUUAAGAUUAUUAAGGAAGUGAGGACGUUUACGGAUUUGGGAUUGAAGGAGGCAAAAGAUUUGGUGGAGCAUGCGCCGACACUUUUGAAGAAGGGGGUGCCAAAGGAGGAGGCGGAGAAUAUCAUUGAGAAGAUGAAGGCGGUGGGCGCCAAGGUCACCAUGGAAUAAGGCACCCAACAGGAAUGACAAACCGACAACGAGGAGAAGGAUAGAGCUUGAUGCUGGGGAAUGACUGGCAACCUGAUUACCUGAAGCAACCUUAACACCUUUGAAUGAUACUCUUAAGGGAUGGAGAGAAUAACUCAUUGUUCAGAUGAUAUUGUCUGCUCUAAAGUACCACCAUCGGGCCUCCAACAUAUUGAACCCUUCAUGAUUGAUCUAAUCAACAGUUCAAUUGGGAAACCUGGGCUUUCUUAGUUGUGAUGAUAUGUGAAUGAAUGAGGGAGCUUUUUGGCCGGAGGGCUAUUUGUCACUUGUUGGAGAGCCUGUAGCUAUUCAUUGUUGCAUGUUUUAAUGAUUAAGUUGUUCAAAUUCAAAUGCCACCUUGAAUGGAUUUAAUAGCCUGCUAUGUAACUUUUCAGAAAAUGAGGGUCGUUAGUGACAUUUACAGGAGCAAA
This is an RNA transcript of Vitis vinifera (wine grape), 1194 nucleotides long. RefSeq lists it as uncharacterized. NCBI's taxonomy places the organism in Eukaryota, Viridiplantae, Streptophyta, Magnoliopsida, Vitales, Vitaceae. The record is from RefSeq and is a predicted model, not a curated record. The transcript is spliced from 3 exons.